Molecule: ribosomal RNA, 468 nt
Filed under: uncultured Mycobacterium sp.
Lineage: Bacteria; Bacillati; Actinomycetota; Actinomycetes; Mycobacteriales; Mycobacteriaceae
Description: bacterial SSU rRNA
Rfam family: Bacterial small subunit ribosomal RNA
Source: RNAcentral
GGGGCCCGCACAAGCGGCGGAGCAUGUGGAUUAAUUCGAUGCAACGCGAAGAACCUUACCUGGGUUUUGACAUGCACAGGACGACUGCAGAGAUGUGGUUCCCUUGUGGCCUGUGUGCAGGUGGUGCAUGGCUGUCGUCAGCUCGUGUCGUGAGAUGUUGGGUUAAGUCCCGCAACGAGCGCAACCCUUGUCUCAUGUUGCCAGCACGUAAUGGUGGGGACUCGUGAGAGACUGCCGGGGUCAACUCGGAGGAAGGUGGGGAUGACGUCAAGUCAUCAUGCCCCUUAUGUCCAGGGCUUCACACAUGCUACAAUGGCCGGUACAAAGGGCUGCGAUGCCGUGAGGUGGAGCGAAUCCUUGUUAAAGCCGGUCUCAGUUCGGAUCGGGGUCUGCAACUCGACCCCGUGAAGUCGGAGUCGCUAGUAAUCGCAGAUCAGCAACGCUGCGGUGAAUACGUUCCCGGGCCUU